Molecule: long non-coding RNA, 434 nt
Filed under: Anser brachyrhynchus (Pink-footed goose)
Lineage: Eukaryota; Metazoa; Chordata; Aves; Anseriformes; Anatidae
Description: lncRNA (ENSABRG00000001031.1)
Source: RNAcentral
CAAAGAGAAUGAAAAUACAUAGUAACACAGAGCCAUGAGAAACCUGUGAUGUCUGAUUCUGAUCACGCACUGAUGAAAGCGUAAAGUUGAAAUGAGCUGCCCAGGUUCAUGCUGCAGGACAAAAUCUUAUGCUUCUGUGUCUAGCAGUGAAGUUUUAACCUCCUCAAUAUACAUCUUUGAACAAUAUAUAUUUUUCUGUCUACUAAAGACAUAAUGGCUGCUCCUUUUAUGGGAAACCAGGAUUUAAUCCAGUAAGUCUCUGAGAAUCAAUAUUCCUGUGAAAUGACACCAUGUUGAAGUUAUUUUAUGUUAUGUUGAUGGUUAGCUAAUUUUGUAAUGGAGACAUUUCUUGUAGAAGCAGACAUAGUAUAAUUUAGUGGUAAAAACGUCAAUCACAAGGGGUUGAACACUUAUGUCAGGGCAGGAAGAGGGCA